This 1485-nucleotide ribosomal RNA is filed under the name Enterococcus durans. RNAcentral's name for it is "bacterial SSU rRNA". It matches the Rfam family "Bacterial small subunit ribosomal RNA". Lineage: Bacteria; Bacillati; Bacillota; Bacilli; Lactobacillales; Enterococcaceae. The record is from RNAcentral.
GACGAACGCUGGCGGCGUGCCUAAUACAUGCAAGUCGUACGCUUCUUUUUCCAUCGGAGCUUGCUCCACCGGAAAAAGAAGAGUGGCGAACGGGUGAGUAACACGUGGGUAACCUGCCCAUCAGAAGGGGAUAACACUUGGAAACAGGUGCUAAUACCGUAUAACAAUCGAAACCGCAUGGUUUUGAUUUGAAAGGCGCUUUCGGGUGUCGCUGAUGGAUGGACCCGCGGUGCAUUAGCUAGUUGGUGAGGUAACGGCUCACCAAGGCCACGAUGCAUAGCCGACCUGAGAGGGUGAUCGGCCACAUUGGGACUGAGACACGGCCCAAACUCCUACGGGAGGCAGCAGUAGGGAAUCUUCGGCAAUGGACGAAAGUCUGACCGAGCAACGCCGCGUGAGUGAAGAAGGUUUUCGGAUCGUAAAACUCUGUUGUUAGAGAAGAACAAGGAUGAGAGUAACUGUUCAUCCCUUGACGGUAUCUAACCAGAAAGCCACGGCUAACUACGUGCCAGCAGCCGCGGUAAUACGUAGGUGGCAAGCGUUGUCCGGAUUUAUUGGGCGUAAAGCGAGCGCAGGCGGUUUCUUAAGUCUGAUGUGAAAGCCCCCGGCUCAACCGGGGAGGGUCAUUGGAAACUGGGAGACUUGAGUGCAGAAGAGGAGAGUGGAAUUCCAUGUGUAGCGGUGAAAUGCGUAGAUAUAUGGAGGAACACCAGUGGCGAAGGCGGCUCUCUGGUCUGUAACUGACGCUGAGGCUCGAAAGCGUGGGGAGCAAACAGGAUUAGAUACCCUGGUAGUCCACGCCGUAAACGAUGAGUGCUAAGUGUUGGAGGGUUUCCGCCCUUCAGUGCUGCAGCUAACGCAUUAAGCACUCCGCCUGGGGAGUACGACCGCAAGGUUGAAACUCAAAGGAAUUGACGGGGGCCCGCACAAGCGGUGGAGCAUGUGGUUUAAUUCGAAGCAACGCGAAGAACCUUACCAGGUCUUGACAUCCUUUGACCACUCUAGAGAUAGAGCUUCCCCUUCGGGGGCAAAGUGACAGGUGGUGCAUGGUUGUCGUCAGCUCGUGUCGUGAGAUGUUGGGUUAAGUCCCGCAACGAGCGCAACCCUUAUUGUUAGUUGCCAUCAUUCAGUUGGGCACUCUAGCAAGACUGCCGGUGACAAACCGGAGGAAGGUGGGGAUGACGUCAAAUCAUCAUGCCCCUUAUGACCUGGGCUACACACGUGCUACAAUGGGAAGUACAACGAGUCGCGAAGUCGCGAGGCUAAGCUAAUCUCUUAAAGCUUCUCUCAGUUCGGAUUGUAGGCUGCAACUCGCCUACAUGAAGCCGGAAUCGCUAGUAAUCGCGGAUCAGCACGCCGCGGUGAAUACGUUCCCGGGCCUUGUACACACCGCCCGUCACACCACGAGAGUUUGUAACACCCGAAGUCGGUGAGGUAACCUUUUGGAGCCAGCCGCCUAAGGUGGGAUAGAUGAUUGGGGUGAAG